This 440-nucleotide ribosomal RNA is filed under the name uncultured bacterium. RNAcentral's name for it is "partial 16S ribosomal RNA". It matches the Rfam family "Bacterial small subunit ribosomal RNA", at positions 338 to 795 of the family's 1533-position model. The record is from RNAcentral.
CCUACGGGAGGCUGCAGUGGGGAAUAUUGCACAAUGGGGGAAACCCUGAUGCAGCGACGCCGCGUGAGUGAAGAAGUAAUUCGUUAUGUAAAGCUCUAUUAGCAGGGAAGAAAAUGACGGUACGUGAGUAAGAAGCCCUGGCUAACUACGUGCCAGCAGCCGCGGCAAUACGCAGGGGGCAAGCGUUAUCCGGAUUUACUGGGUGUAAAGGGAGCGUAGACGGCUGUGCAAGUCCGGAGUGAAAGUCUGGGGCUCAACCCUAGGACUGCUCUGGAAACUGUACGGCUGGAGUGCAUGAGAGGUAAGUGGAAUGCCUGGUGUAGCGGUGAAAUGCGUAGAUAUUAGGAGGAACACCGGUGGCGAAGGCAGCUUACUGGACUGUAACUGACGUUGAGGCUCGAAAGCGUGGGGAGCAAACAGGAUUAGAUACCCCUGUAGUC